UACACAUAGAAAUAUAGUUAUUUACAUGUCAGAAAAAAAAGGUAUUUAUUUAGAUUAGAUAGAUAAUGUCUUCGUUAAAUAUAGUUAAUGUUAAUGUGUUCAAGUGUCUUUUAAUAUUGUAUUAGAUGUAUCGGGCUUCAAAACUAGUGGACCGUGGUUAGAAAAACAUAGCGAGAGAGAGAGAGAGAGAGAGAGAGAGAGAGAGAAAGAGAUAGAGAGAGAGUGUGGUGGAAGCGAGUGAGAGAGAGAGAGAGAGAGAGAGUCAAAUAGGCAGGUAGGCAAGGCAGACGGACAGAGAUGCGAAGGUGCGUAGAGAUGCGAAGACUGAUAGAGAGAAAAAAUUGGAUUAAAAAAUAGCUCCAGAAACAUAACAAAUGCUAGGAAUAAGACAUGCGAAGGAAAUAGAGAGAGAACUGAGCAAGAAUGAGUGGAGUGAGUUUGGAGGGGAAGUAAAAAUUAAUCAGGACACUGGAUUGGAAACAAAAGAACAGGAUGAGAAGUAAAAUUGAGCACACGGAAGAUAAGAAGAAGAAGACGAACGACGACGGGAAGAAAAAUAUGUUUGAGACUCUACACAUAUCAUUGUUCGGAAAACUAUGACAAUAUCCAUGAUUCUAUAGACGGAGAGAGCGAGCGAGAGAGAGAGAGAUAGAGUCGGGGAGAGAGAGAGAGAAAGGGGGGGAGAGAGAGAUUUAACCAACAAACUAACUAACGGAGUUACUUCCACCACUUUUAGAUGGAAAACACUGGGAUGCCGGCAUUUUUACUGGAAAUAUAAAGUUUGUAAAAUUACUUGCUGCAACUGUGUAUUCUAAGAACGUUAGUGGCAGG
RNAcentral lists this long non-coding RNA (831 nucleotides) under Octopus vulgaris (common octopus). Lineage: Eukaryota; Metazoa; Mollusca; Cephalopoda; Octopoda; Octopodidae. The record is from RNAcentral.